Molecule: RNA transcript, 4383 nt
Organism: Lotus japonicus
Lineage: Eukaryota; Viridiplantae; Streptophyta; Magnoliopsida; Fabales; Fabaceae
Exons: 9
Source: RefSeq, a predicted model, not a curated record
CUUUCCCUCCUAUAAAAAAAAAACUUUCGCUCUUACCCCCAAACCCUUCGUUCUUUACUCUCACGUUCUGUGCUUCCCUGUCAUGUUCCGUUCUUCAACGUCUAUGGUGAUUGAGGCGGUUAGCUAGGCUGAGGUUGAUUUCGAUUUAACAAUUGCGCUUGUGUCUGGAGAGGAAAUUUCACAAUUUUAAGGUUCGUUUCCCUCAUCUCCUUGUUCCUGUGGAGCGUCGCCGCCGUGCCGUCACAGACUCGCGGCACCACGCCCCUCUUUGUUCGAAAGCGCAGACCCAACCUCCAGCUUCGUCAAGAUCUCAAAAGAACUCCACCAAAGCCAGCAACUUGGGAGCCAAUAAUUGAACAAAAGUAGCAAUGGAUAAGUCAUGGAUUUUGUUGCCACGAAAUUCACCUGCAUAUCAGGAAGGGGUUAAGGGAUUUUUAGACUUUGCCUUUGAGUGUAGUUCUGUUGAUGGUGCAAUAUUAUGCCCUUGUGGUCUAUGCAAUUUUAGAAAGUGGCUGACUAGGGAUGUAGUGUAUGAGCACUUAGUUAUUAAGCAAUUCCCGAGAAAUUACACCUUUUGGUUUGAUCAUGGCGAGUCCCAUGAAGUGGAAACUGAAAACAAUGGUACUGCCAAUGUGUCAAGUUUAGGACCAAACAUUGUGAAUGAUGAAGAUCCUAUCCGAAACAUGGUCAAUGAAGCUUUUGGGGUCGAUAUGCAUCGUGACAAUGAAUCAAAUGAAGGCGUCAGCCAAGGUGAAGGACCAAUGCCAAAUGUUGGGCCACAAGGAAAUCAAGCUAGAGAGUUUUAUGAGUUGGCAAAAGAUGGGGAACAACCAUUAUACGAAGGGUGCACACGGUAUUCUAAACUUUCUUUUAUAGUGAAGCUGUAUCAUAUCAAAUGCAUGUGCAAGAUGACUGAUAAGGCAAUGACAAUGAUAAUAGAACAACUACAUGAUGCAUUUGAACAUGCACAAAUUCCAAGUUCAUUUUACGAGGCAAAGAAAUAUAUAACCAAACUUGGUUUGGGCUAUGAAAAGAUACAUGCAUGUCCAAGAAAUUGUAUGUUGUAUUGGGGUGCGGAUGAAAACAGGGAACAAUGCAAAACUUGUACCAUGUCUAGAUGGAGAGAACCGAGUGGAAAUGGUGAGAAUCCGGUGUCAGAAGUUGUCAAGUGCAAGAAGAAAGUGCCUCGAAAAGUUCUUCGUUACUUUCCUUUGAAGCCUCGAUUGCAAAGAUUGUUUUUGUCUUCAAAGACUGCUAAUGAUAUGAGAUGGCAUGUUGUGUCUGCUAAUAACGAUGGCAUGAUCAGGCAUCCCAGAGACUCUGAAGCUUGGCAGCAUUUUGACUCAAAAAACACUGAUUUUAGUAAAGAUCCACGAAAUGUUCGUCUUGGUUUAGCUUCUGAUGGUUUUAAUCCUCAUAGUUUAUUGAGUGCGAGUAAUAGCAUCUGGCCCGUUAUUCUCAUACCCUACAACACUCCUCCGUGGGUGUGUAUGAAGCCGACAUCUUUUAUCCUUUCAAUGAUAAUUCCUGGUAAAAAACAACCAGGAAAUGAUAUAGAUGUUUACUUGCAGCCUCUAAUCAAGGAGUUGAAGGAAUUAUGGCAUGAUGGUGUAGAUGCUUAUGAUGCGUCGACGAAGGAGAUGUUCAAAUUACAUGCUGCUUUGAUGUGGACAAUCAGUGACUUCCCUGGGCUUUCUGUUCUCUCUGGAUGGAACACCUACACAGGACUGGCAUGUCCUACAUGUAAUUUUGACUCGGUCCCGUGCCGCCUUAAGCACAGUUUAAAGUGGUGUUUUAUGGGUCACCGUCGAUUUCUUGAUAGGAGACAUAAAUUUAGAUUGAACAAGAUUCGGUUUAAUGGACAACAAGAGUUACGUGAUGCACCAAAAUCUUUGUCAGGCUCAGAUAUUUUUGCACAGGUUAAGGACAUUAAGGUCAUCUUUGGCAGAAAAGAUAAAACAAGUGGAAAGAGAAAAAGGUCACUUGGUGAGAGAGUUCCCUCAGAAAACACCCAACAAUGGAAGAAGAAAAGCAUAUUUUUCGAGCUUCCAUAUUGGGAGCACAAUAAGUUGCGUCACAAUCUUGAUGUCAUGCACAUCGAAAAGAACGUCUGUGAAAAUAUCCUAUUCACCUUGCUGAAUGAUGGAGGUCAAAAGAUCACUUGAAAGCUCGAAAAGACCUACAAGCCAUGGGCUUUAGGCAUGAUCUUUGGCCAGAUGAGAAUGGAAAAUAUCCUUUAGCUAUUUAUACAAUGACCAAUCAAGGAAAGAAAUCCUUUUUAACAAGUUUAAGCAAUAUCACAGUGCCAGAUGGUUAUUCAAGCAACAUUUCUAGGGGCAUUGAUUUGGACAAUUUUCGAGUGAGUGGGAUGCUUAAAAGCCACGAUUUUCAUGUAUUGAUGGAGCAAUUGCUACCGCUGGCCAUGCGGACAACAUUGCCCAAUGAAGUCUCAAAAGUUUUGAAUGGAUUGGGCUCAUUCUUUAGGCAAUUGUGCGGAAAAGCUUUGAGUGUGGCUGAUUUAGAUCGAAUGCAGCAUGAUAUUGUGCUCACUCUAUGUAACAUGGAAAUUUUAUUUCCCCCUUCAUUCUUCACUGUCAUGGUCCAUUUAAUUGUUCACCUUGUUGACGAAGCUAAACUUGGAGGCCCCGUAUAUUACCGAUGGAUGUACCCUGUAGAGAGGUACUUAGGAUUACUAAAAUCAUACGUGCACAACAGGGCACAAGCCACAGGCUCCAUUGCAGAAGGUUACCUAAUGCAAGAAAUCCUAACAUUUUGUUCAAGGUACCUCGAUGAUAUUGAGACCGUAUGGAAUCGACCACGUCGUGUUGAUGAUGAACCUAAUGAUAUGCAACCGGAAACACGGGUAGCUGAAUUGUUUCCUAAAGUGGGAAAACCAGUUGGUUGCUCUUCAUAUUUCACCCUUUCAUCCAUUGAAAGGUUACAAGCUCAUCGACACAUUCUAACCAAUUGCCCAAUAGUUGAUCAAUAUUUACAGGAAUAUAGAGAUGUUGUGCGGAGGAAACUAAGAAGGCACACAAGGAGUGCGACUGAGAUAGACAAGAAGGUUCAUAAAGAGUUUGCCGAUCGGUUCUAUAAUCAUAUUUUUAAAAAUGCGGAAACCCUUGGCGAGGCAGAUAAAUCGAUUCUUCUCAGACUUGCUGAAGGGCCUGAAUAUCGAGCUAGAAGGUUCACUGCAUAUAAUGUUAACGGAUAUAAAUUUCGUACAUUAGCUCGAGACAAAGGAUUGAGAACUCAAAAUAUUGGGGUUUUUGGUUCAUUUGGCACUAGAAGUUACUCAACCAGUAGUGAUUCCCAAAUGAGAUUUGGAGGGGUCCCUUAUUAUGGGAAGUUGAUAGACAUAAUUGAAAUCAGCUACGGUGGCUUAUUCACAAUUCCUUUAUUUAAAUGUAAAUGGGCUAACACCACUAAUCCUAGAGGUAUGAAAAAAGAUGAUUUGGGUUUUACCUCUAUUAACUUCACAAGACCAAUACACACGGGAGAUCAUGAAGACGAUGAGCCUUAUAUUAAAGCUUCUGAAGCCCAUAUGAUUUUUUAUGUUGAUGAUGAGAAAGAAAAUGGUUGGAGUAUACCUGUGCAUGUGAAGUCAAGGGACUUAUAUGACAUGGGUGAAGAGAUUAGUGUAUCAGAUGAGGCAUAUCCAUCAUCUAACUUGGAGCAAAUUUUUCCGGAUAAUACUGAACCUGUACAAUUGGCAAGAGUUGUCACAAAUGAUGAUCCUGCAGAUUAUAUCAUUGAGGGAAAUAUCGAUGAAGAUGAUAUUCAAGAUUAUAUAGUUACAUGAUCUGAUUCUUCGGAUAAUACUUGCAAUUCACUUAUAUUAUCACCAUAAGAUGUUUUCACUUGUGAGGUAUGCCUAAAUCAAAGAGACAUUGUCGCAGAAGUUCUUCUUCAGCAACAACACCCCAACAAUCUGAUUCUGCACGUCACAGCGACCCUAUAUCGCAGCAUGUUGACCAUGUACAGCAGCUGAGUGAGUCUAUAACACAGCAUAGUGAGCCUAUAAAGUAGCAUAGUGAGCCUAUACCACAACAGAGUGCACCUAUAAUCAAUGAGGUUCAAAAUCAACAGCCCGCACAACGUGCUCGGAAGUCUACAAAAAAAUGGGACGUGAACCUUGUUGAUGAUGAGGGGGCUAUUACAGCUCAUAGUUUACUAUGCGAUGAUUUGAAGUAUGAUCUUCCCGGAAGUAGGAAAAUUGUUGUACUAUGGGAUGAGUUUGGUCGACCUGUUGGAAAUGCUGCUGGACUUUUGGGAGUAUUUUUAGGGGUACUUGCAUCUAGUGCUACUAAAUUACCAAUCACCUAUAUUAGAUGGCCAGAUGUUGCUAAAAUACACAAGGAUCAGGUUUAGGCUACCAUAAAG